CGGGAGCGGGGCCUGCCCGGACUGCGACGCCGCCACAGCUUGGGGCCAGUUCGCCCAGUCAGGGGGAUGGCUCGGUCGGCCUCGGGGGUCGACGAUCCCCCGGGACAUUGACAAGCAGUACGUGGGCUUCGCCACACUGCCCAACCAGGUGCACCGCAAGUCGGUGAAGAAAGGCUUUGACUUCACACUCAUGGUGGCUGGUGAGUCAGGCCUGGGGAAGUCCACACUGGUCCACAGCCUCUUCCUGACAGACUUGUACAAGGACCGGAAGCUGCUCAGUGCUGAGGAGCGCAUCAGCCAGACGGUAGAGAUUCUAAAACACACGGUGGACAUUGAGGAGAAGGGAGUCAAGCUGAAGCUCACCAUCGUGGACACGCCGGGAUUCGGGGACGCUGUCAACAACACCGAGUGCUGGAAGCCCAUCACCGACUAUGUGGACCAGCAGUUUGAGCAGUACUUCCGUGAUGAGAGCGGCCUCAACCGAAAGAACAUCCAAGACAACCGAGUGCACUGCUGCCUAUACUUCAUCUCCCCCUUCGGGCAUGGGCUGCGGCCAGUGGAUGUGGGUUUCAUGAAGGCAUUGCAUGAGAAGGUCAACAUCGUGCCUCUCAUCGCCAAAGCUGACUGUCUUGUCCCCAGUGAGAUCCGGAAGCUGAAGGAGCGGAUCCGGGAGGAGAUUGACAAGUUUGGGAUCCAUGUAUACCAGUUCCCUGAGUGUGACUCGGACGAGGAUGAGGACUUCAAGCAGCAGGACCGGGAACUGAAGGAGAGCGCGCCCUUCGCCGUUAUAGGCAGCAACACGGUGGUGGAGGCCAAGGGGCAGCGGGUCCGGGGCCGACUGUACCCCUGGGGGAUCGUGGAGGUGGAGAACCAGGCGCAUUGCGACUUCGUGAAGCUGCGCAACAUGCUCAUCCGCACGCAUAUGCACGACCUCAAGGACGUGACGUGCGACGUGCACUACGAGAACUACCGCGCGCACUGCAUCCAGCAGAUGACCAGCAAACUGACCCAGGACAGCCGCAUGGAGAGCCCCAUCCCGAUCCUGCCGCUGCCCACCCCGGACGCCGAGACUGAGAAGCUUAUCAGGAUGAAGGAUGAGGAACUGAGGCGCAUGCAGGAGAUGCUGCAGAGGAUGAAGCAGCAGAUGCAGGACCAGUGACGCUCGCCGCGGACACACCGUCCGUCUCCGGGACGCCCUCGCACCCCUGGACACCAGACCGGACUGUUCCCGACCCGGAGACGCGGGGCCACAGCCCCCAGCUGACCCUAAUUUAUUCUCAGCACCACCCCCUCCCAGGUCAUUGUGUCUGUUUCCGAGGGGCCUGGACCGUAGCCCCCGCCCAGCUGGCCCUCUCUGACCUUGGGGGAUCAGGAGCGAAGUUGGGCGGGACUUCAGAGAUCCGCCUCCCUUGCCCUUCCCCCGCCCCCGGACGGUCACAGCACCCAAACCGCAGGCCCUGCUCUGGCAGGCAGGCAAAGCUAGGCAGAAGAGGAUUCCCAGGAUCCUGGGUCUGUUCCCUGCCCCAGUGCUGCAGAACGGACUUGGGAGCCCUCCUUUGCCUGCUCCCGCGGGUCACCCAGCGAGUGCUGAGACCCCAUUUUCUGUCGAGGCGGGCCGAGUCUUCCCUUAUCCCCAGACGCCUAGCGGGCAGGGUUGGGCUGAAUCAAAUGGGAGCCCUCCAGACAUAAGGAGGCCAGAGGCUGCAAGGAGCGGGGUCGUGACCGCUUACACCCCUUCUCCACAGCCCGGCCCGACCUGGAGGGCCCCCGGGGCACUGGGCGGUGAGCCACCUCCUGGCAACUCUCGGUGCCGUCCCCUGCCCUCGCUCGAGGCCUCUUCUCCCCAGCACCGCUGUGGUGUGCCGGGAUCCUGAGCCUAGGCCUCCCGAUGUUCCCACCCGCAUGAUCCCUUCCCGCCACACGAUGCUCCGUUUUCUUCCGUUGUGAAUGCCGCGUCCUGUCCUGGUGACAGGAGAACAAUGUUGGUGAACGUCGCAGCGGGUGUCCGAGUGCUCCGUGUGCCCCUGAGAGCGGGUGGGAGCGGAAGCCUGAGCGGCCUGCGGCCUCCGGCGAUAGUGUGCUAUCUGCCGCUGCAGCGCGCGUCCGCGCGGCCUCUGGGCUAUUUCUGGCCAGGCCGCAGCACUGUGGUCGGUGCGGGCGUGGCAGGGGCGGGGCGGCCUUAUCGCUCGGCUCUCCCGCCUACGCCUCCCGCUGCAGAGUAAGCCGGGCUGCCGUCUUCUCGCCAUGGGCUCCGGGCCGCGCGGGGCGCUGAGCUUACUGCUCCUGCUGCUGGCCCCGCCGAGCCGCCCGGCCGCAGGUUGCCCGGCGCCCUGUAGCUGCGCGGGGACGCUCGUGGACUGCGGGCGCCGCGGGCUGACUUGGGCCUCGCUGCCGACCGCCUUCCCUGUCGACACAACCGAGCUGGUGCUGACCGGCAACAACCUGACGGCGCUGCCGCCGGGGCUGCUGGACGCGCUGCCCGCGCUGCGCACCGCACACCUGGGCGCCAACCCCUGGCGCUGCGACUGCCGCCUUGUGCCGCUGCGCGCCUGGCUGGCCGGCCGCCCCGAGCGUGCGCCCUACCGCGACCUGCGUUGCGUGGCGCCCCCAGCGCUGCGCGGCCGCCUGCUGCCCUAUCUGGCCGAGGACGAGCUGCGCGCCGCUUGCGCUCCCGGCCCGCUCUGCUGGGGGGCGCUGGCGGCGCAGCUUGCGCUGCUGGGCCUUGGGCUGCUGCACGCGUUGCUGCUGGUGCUGCUGCUGUGCCGCCUGCGGAGGCUGCGGGCCCGGGCCCGCGCUCGCGCCGCAGCCCGGCUGUCGCUGACCGACCCGCUGGUGGCCGAGCGAGCCGGAACCGACGAGUCCUGAGGAGAGAACCGGUGCGUCCUGAGGAGAGAACCGGCGCUGGGCAACACGGGCCUGCAAACUCGACAGGACCCUGCCCGAGGGGCCCUCGCGCCAACCUGGACCGGUCCCCGCCUCCUCCGCUGCCCAAUCUCUCAGACCCACCCCACCUGCAGGCCCAGACCACGUGGGACAGAACUCCUGCCCACCCUACCCCGAGGGAGGCGAACCCGCACUUCCAGGCUUGGGAGGACCAUGGGGCACAAUGCGGUCCAGACCCUGCUGCGUCUCCCUUCCAAACUCUGGUGCUGAAUAAACCCUUCUGAUCUGGUCU
RNAcentral lists this long non-coding RNA (3175 nucleotides) under Homo sapiens (human). RNAcentral describes it as "SEPT5-GP1BB readthrough, transcript variant 2 (SEPT5-GP1BB)". Lineage: Eukaryota; Metazoa; Chordata; Mammalia; Primates; Hominidae. The record is from RNAcentral.